GGCUGAGGGAGAUACGAGAUGUAAGAAGUCUUGGCAGACGGCUUAUCAUAUACGAGGAAGAGGAAGGAGGAUGAGAGCGGAGAUUUAAAAGGGAGUUGAACAAUUGUGCAGUGCGCCAAGAAAGUUGAUAUUUCUCAACAUUGGAUCACCUGUCUUCUUUUUUCAGCGUGAUGCUGGCUUAUGUCUAAAACCAACAUGGUGGAAAAAGAAUGCUGAACAUUAAUUUCC
Xiphophorus maculatus (southern platyfish) is the source of this 228-nucleotide long non-coding RNA. RefSeq lists it as uncharacterized. The transcript has 3 exons. NCBI's taxonomy places the organism in Eukaryota, Metazoa, Chordata, Actinopteri, Cyprinodontiformes, Poeciliidae. The record is from RefSeq and is a predicted model, not a curated record.